UACGUAGGGGGCUAGCGUUGUCCGGAUUUAUUGGGCGUAAAGAGCGUGUAGGCGGCCAGGUAGGUCUGGUGUGAAAACUCGAGGCUUAACCUCGAGAUGUCAUCGGAAACCAUCUGGCUAGAGUCCGGAAGAGGAGAGUGGAAUUCCUGGUGUAGCGGUGAAAUGCGCAGAUAUCAGGAAGAACACCAAUGGCGAAAGCAGCUCUCUGGGACGGUACUGACGCUGAGACGCGAAAAGCGUGGGGAGCGAACAGG
RNAcentral lists this ribosomal RNA (254 nucleotides) under uncultured bacterium. RNAcentral's name for it is "partial 16S ribosomal RNA". It matches the Rfam family "Bacterial small subunit ribosomal RNA", at positions 524 to 776 of the family's 1533-position model. The record is from RNAcentral.